RNAcentral lists this ribosomal RNA (292 nucleotides) under uncultured Planctomycetota bacterium. RNAcentral's name for it is "uncultured planctomycete partial 16S ribosomal RNA". Lineage: Bacteria; Pseudomonadati; Planctomycetota. The record is from RNAcentral.
GGACUACUGGGGUAUCUAAUCCCGUUCGCUCCCCUAGCUUUCGUACCUCAGCGUCAGAAGAGACCCAGUAAGCCGCUUUCGCCACCGGUGUUCCUGAUGAUAUCAACGCAUUUCACCGCUCCACCAUCAGUUCCGCUUACCUCUGUCUCCCUCAAGCACCACAGUAUCGGGCGCAGUUCCUCGGUUGAGCCGAGGGCUUUCACACCCGACUGAUGGCGCCGCCUACGUACCCUUUAAGCCCAAUGAAUCCGAAUAACGUUUGGACGGUUCGUAUUACCGCGGCUGCUGGCAC